AUUGAACGCUGGCGGAAUGCUUUACACGUGCAAGUCGAACGGCAGCACGGGUGCUUGCACCUGGUGGCGAGUGGCGAACGGGUGAGUAAUACAUCGGAACGUACCUUAUCGUGGGGGAUAACGCAGCGAAAGUUGCGCUAAUACCGCAUACGCCCUGAGGGGGAAAGCGGGGGACCGUAAGGCCUCGCGCGAUUAGAGCGGCCGAUGUCUGAUUAGCUUGUUGGUGAGGUAAAAGCUCACCAAGGCGAUGAUCGGUAGCUGGUCUGAGAGGACGAUCAGCCACACUGGGACUGAGACACGGCCCAGACUCCUACGGGAGGCAGCAGUGGGGAAUUUUGGACAAUGGGGGCAACCCUGAUCCAGCAAUGCCGCGUGAGUGAAGAAGGCCUUCGGGUUGUAAAGCUCUUUUGUCAGGGAAGAAACAGCAGCUCUAACACAGUCUGCGAAUGACGGUACCUGAAGAAUAAGCACCGGCUAACUACGUGCCAGCAGCCGCCGGUAA
This 502-nucleotide ribosomal RNA is filed under the name uncultured bacterium. RNAcentral's name for it is "partial 16S ribosomal RNA". It matches the Rfam family "Bacterial small subunit ribosomal RNA", at positions 30 to 523 of the family's 1533-position model. The record is from RNAcentral.